GACGAACGCUGGCGGCGUGCUUAACACAUGCAAGUCGAACGGAAAGGCCCUGCUUUUGUGGGGUGCUCGAGUGGCGAACGGGUGAGUAACACGUGAGUAACCUGCCCUUGACUUUGGGAUAACUUCAGGAAACUGGGGCUAAUACCGGAUAGGAGCUCCUGCUGCAUGGUGGGGGUUGGAAAGUUUCGGCGGUUGGGGAUGGACUCGCGGCUUAUCAGCUUGUUGGUGGGGUAGUGGCUUACCAAGGCUUUGACGGGUAGCCGGCCUGAGAGGGUGACCGGCCACAUUGGGACUGAGAGAUGGCCCAGACUCCUACGGGAGGCAGCAGUGGGGAAUAUUGCACAAUGGGCGGAAGCCUGAUGCAGCAACGCCGCGUGCGGGAUGACGGCCUUCGGGUUGUAAACCGCUUUCGCCUGUGACGAAGCGUGAGUGACGGUAAUGGGUAAAGAAGCACCGGCUAACUACGU
RNAcentral lists this ribosomal RNA (467 nucleotides) under uncultured bacterium. RNAcentral describes it as "partial 16S ribosomal RNA". It matches the Rfam family "Bacterial small subunit ribosomal RNA", at positions 28 to 506 of the family's 1533-position model. The record is from RNAcentral.